AUUCAGAUUCAAGCCGAUGCGCCAGGCAGCUUCGGCCAUCUCGGUGCUAAUCAGUAAGGAUUCAAUCAGUGCAAAGAAACGAAGCAUUGGAUUUGGGGUCAGCAUGUGUGCAAGCUUCUAAUAAAUCAGGUUCCAUCUCUCUCUCUCAAUAUGUUUCAUCUCUCAUGAAGUCUUAUGAUGCAUUCGUUGGAGCUGUUUAGUAGGUUCGGAGUAGAAACAUGGUAAGAUUAUUCCUGACUCUUUCAAAGCUGCUCAGACGCUUAGUAUAGACGCUUAUUCUAUACUAAAAGGGAUAUAUGAAGAGUAGAGAGGGUGUCCACGUCCUCAAUUAAAAUCAGCCAAUAGGGUGUCUCAAAUUCGCCACGUCAUUUGCUCUUUUAUGUUUAAGCCGCUGUCGUAGUGACGCGUUUCCUCUGUACAUCUCAAUCGUCUCAACUUCCUUCGCUUCUCUAAAAAAUUAUAAAAAGUGUUACGAAACUCCUGCCAUCAACUUUUAUUUGCACCGUGAAUCUCUCUUCGUCUUCUUUCCCAUCCUAUAAGCAAUUUUUUUUACAUUGAUCUCUUCAUCUCCUUCCUGCAAAUUUGUGUUCUUUUGAUUCAACAUAAUUGAUUUAAAACUAGAUCCAAUGAUUCAAACUGAAAAAAAAUUCAGAUUCAAGCCGAUGCGCCAGGCAGCUUCGGCCAUCUCGGUGCUAAUCAGUAAGGAUUCAAUCAGUGCAAAGAAACGAAGCAUUGGAUUUGGGGUCAGCAUGUGUGCAAGCUUCUAAUAAAUCAGGUUCCAUCUCUCUCUCUCAAUAUGUUUCAUCUCUCAUGAAGUCUUAUGAUGCAUUCGUUGGAGCUGUUUAGUAGGUUCGGAGUAGAAACAUGGUAAGAUUAUUCCUGACUCUUUCAAAGCUGCUCAGACGCUUAGUAUAGACGCUUAUUCUAUACUAAAAGGGAUAUAUGAAGAGUAGAGAGGGUGUCCACGUCCUCAAUUAAAAUCAGCCAAUAGGGUGUCUCAAAUUCGCCACGUCAUUUGCUCUUUUAUGUUUAAGCCGCUGUCGUAGUGACGCGUUUCCUCUGUACAUCUCAAUCGUCUCAACUUCCUUCGCUUCUCUAAAAAAUUAUAAAAAGUGUUACGAAACUCCUGCCAUCAACUUUUAUUUGCACCGUGAAUCUCUCUUCGUCUUCUUUCCCAUCCUAUAAGCAAUUUUUUUUACAUUGAUCUCUUCAUCUCCUUCCUGCAAAUUUGUGUUCUUUUGAUUCAACAUAAUUGAUUUAAAACUAGAUCCAAUGAUUCAAACUGAAAAAAAAUUCAGAUUCAAGCCGAUGCGCCAGGCAGCUUCGGCCAUCUCGGUGCUAAUCAGUAAGGAUUCAAUCAGUGCAAAGAAACGAAGCAUUGGAUUUGGGGUCAGCAUGUGUGCAAGCUUCUAAUAAAUCAGUGUCUAACAAAGAGAUCUCGAACUGGAUCGUGUAAGAUUACUUGAAAUCAAUCAAGUAUUGGAAUCAAUCCGUCAAGCUUUUCACCACCAGGUUCCAUAUCUUUCUCACUCACGACUUCCAAUCAAUCUUAACCCUAUUUUUUUAUCAUGCUUUAGUUGGAGUUGUUUGGUAAACAUGUGAGCUGCAGAAACUGGAUAAAGAUUAUUCUGAGUCUCUCAGAUGCUUAGUAUAGUCACGUAAUCUUCCCUUCCCUUUCUCCCUAUCUAAUUUUGUUAUAAUUGAUAAGGUAAGAGCUUAAUAAUGUAGUUAUUAUCUUAUAAGUUGCAGGUAUGGAUUCUGUAAAAUCAGUAUAUGAAAUUCAUUGUAUAAUUAUUUUGAUCCGGUGCAACAGGUCAAGUAUACGUCUCCCCCAGCUUCCCCACUCCGUAGCGAGUUUUGAAUGCAUCACUGGACUGAUGGUGUUCUCCAAGUUCAUAGGGUGCAGUGAAUGCCAAACAAAAGUAACCCGAGGCGCCACAUCAUUGGUCUGCCUAUAAAUGCAAUAACCACAACGCCAUAGGUAAUGAGUGCUGGAUCUCUGAUGUGCCUGUCUGAACAUCUUCAAACAAUUAACGAGUGUUGGAUCUCUGUAUGAGCUUAGUGUAUUUGAAGUAACCUGUAGCAACACUAACUUCUGCUUUAGCGACAGCCCCAUUGCUAUUCGUUUCACUAACCAAACCGUCGGGGAGCUAUAUGAGACGGACAAACCGAUUGAUGGUAUUAGCAAACACGAGUACCGACAUACCAGAUAUUGUUGGUAAGUUCGGGUAUUAGAACUGCUUACGACGAAAAGAGCCGGAGUACACAGCGCCACCAUAAGCUUUGAAUGGGCACUCUAAUGUCUUCCUAAGUGUGUUUGCUGAGUAAGGUCAUAAACCGAAGGUGGCGGUUGCCACUAACAUCAUCCCAAAACUGGCAAUGAAUGAACCGUCCUGUUUAGAACUUGCUUACGGAUUUCUUAAAAGGUUUUCUCUCUGUUUUAGAUAUUGUCUCAAGCCGUCUCUUCCUGAAUGAAACUUCAGAAACUCAUUUCUAUUUUGAUAAGGAUUGUGCUGUUGGUCAAAUUUAUCUAAAGAGGGUAUGUUGUAGUGAGGAAGGCUCAACCUUCAGCACGUAGUCAUUAAGCUCUCCUAAUCACAAAUAAGUAGCUUAACAAUAUCUCAAUAACUGCACUUUGCGGAGUUCAUUUGCACUGGUGUUGUGAGUGAAAUAGAAACAAAAAGUGGAUGUUGCUUUGCUCCAAGUGCCACCGCAAAUUGCAGCAUGGGUUCUCAUCAUUUCAAUGUCCUCCCUGCAAUGAGGAGAAUACAGUUGGAGUUAUUAGAUAGUCUACCCUCAACAAACUUUGUAACAAUUAAUCUUAAAAUCCACAACUAUCCUAUGCUACGAGAGUAAUGCAUUACACUGGAUAAUAUAGGCUAGGUACCGUGUUCGAAUGACCAUAUCUGAUGCAACCGAUGCUGCUGAAUUUGUUGUCUUUGACACUGUAAUAACUAAACUAACUAAUAUCUGCGCAGCAAAUCCCUCCAACCAGCAGGUUGCUGUUUCACAAGACCUCCAGGAUUGGGACCUCCCACAAUGCGUACAUGAGAUCGCUGGUAGCACCUUAACCUUCCAAUUGAGUCUGUCUCACUUCAACAUCAGUGCCAUACAUCAGAUUUUCACUGUUUCCCGCAUUUUUUACUACAACCAGUGCCCACCUCAGCUUAAUUUUGAGGGUCAUGUCUCCAAUAAAUGCUCAAGUCUAUGCAACUUUACAUGGUCUUUGAUUACUGAUUAGGGAGUCACAUUUUCAAGGUAGGUAUGAUAAUCCCGGGGAUGAUACGCCAGCUGCUGGAGCUGUCAAAAGAAGCCACAGUCAUGUUCUCCAGAGCAGUCCCGUGAAUCAGGGUGAAAGUGAUGGUAAUGGUGAUGUUGCAUGAGGACGGUUGCUAUGACAAGAAGCCACAGACUGAUAAAGAACAAGUGGAGAUUCAGAUAGAAGACAUGCUGACAUGUUCGAUGCUUUUAUUUAAAAGUAAAACUGCCAAACACUAUGGUUUACUUUUUCAUGGUGGAGUUUUUUUCUUAUUUGGAUUUUCAUUGGUUUCAUUUUUUAACAUUUCCAUAGUCCGUAUACAUUUAACAGUCAAAACCCAAAAAAUCCUACUUCACAGACC
Brassica napus (rape) is the source of this 3620-nucleotide long non-coding RNA. RefSeq lists it as uncharacterized. The transcript is spliced from 7 exons. Lineage: Eukaryota; Viridiplantae; Streptophyta; Magnoliopsida; Brassicales; Brassicaceae. The record is from RefSeq and is a predicted model, not a curated record.